GCCUCUAUGGCCUAGUGGUUAAUUGUGCUCAUUAUUCAAAAAUUAAUGAUGAGUCUCAGGUUCAAUCCUUGCUGAUUGCA
Molecule: non-coding RNA, 80 nt
Organism: Crucibulum laeve
Lineage: Eukaryota; Fungi; Basidiomycota; Agaricomycetes; Agaricales; Nidulariaceae
Source: the annotation of a GenBank genome assembly